RNAcentral lists this ribosomal RNA (253 nucleotides) under uncultured bacterium. Its description in RNAcentral is "partial 16S ribosomal RNA". It matches the Rfam family "Bacterial small subunit ribosomal RNA", at positions 524 to 776 of the family's 1533-position model. The record is from RNAcentral.
GACAGAGGGUGCAAACGUUGCUCGGAAUUACUGGGCGUAAAGCGCGUGUAGGUGGAUUGGUGUGUCAGAUGUGAAAUCCCUGGGUUCAACCCAGGAACUGCACCUGAAACUACCAGUCUUGAGUGGUGGAGAGGGAAGUGGAAUUCCUGGUGUAGAGGUGAAAUUCGUAGAUAUCAGGAGGAACACCAGUGGCGAAGGCGGCUCACUGGCCCGGUACUGACGCUGAGGCGCGAAAGCGUGGGGAGCAAACAGG